CUGCUUCAAAUCUGCAGGCACGUGCAGUGGGGUAAUGGUGGUGGGGUGGGGGUUGUCGCCAUCAGUGCCCUGGGAGAGGCCCUUUUGGCACUGAGGCUCACAUUGAUCCUUUGGCCCUUUUUUAAGUGUGUGCGUGUGAAAGCCAUUUUCAUACCUUUAAAAAUCAACAACACAAUUAAAAAAUAUAUAAUUAAAUCAUUAUCUUGCUACCCUUGGUCACAAGACCUUGCUUGCAGUUGAUGUCAUAUACUACUUGACGCACUGUUCUUUUCAAGCUAAGCUGCUGCUGAACUUGUUCUCAGCAAGGUCGUCGCUACUCUCUCCAUUUGUACUGUUUAAUUAAGUCGUCCCACGGUAUCCAGAAAGCCAAAAUAUGGUCGUGAUUAUUGGAUCGGGCUUAUAGAUAUAUCGCAAAGUCCAAUUGUAGCAUAGGCAUCAGAUUAUAGUUUGUCAAUAUUUCAUUCUGCAUCAGUGUCUGUCUCAACAUGGCGUUUCCAAACCGUCAGUGGUACAGCAGGUUAUUCGCAGUCAGUCAUUUCCGGUGCGUACUUGUUGUAAUCAACUUGCCUAACCAACUAUUCUCCCAUUUUCUUUUGUAGCUUCUGCACUCGGGCCAAAUCACCCCAGCUCCGGCAAUAUCAUCAGCAGCAGCAGCAAUCUCUCCACAAAUCCCCAUCAACAGAAGCUGUUUAGCAUACCGCAUCAGCGCCAAAGUACUGGGUUCGAAACGGUUCAAAUAAUGGAUGGAGAUUCAAGCAAGUCAGAAGCUACAGUGGAGUUGCGCGCCUUCAGUGCAGUGCCACAUGUCAGGCAGCACUGAGCACGAAUGGAAGAGAUGCAGCGUCAUUAAUAGGAAGAAGAACCAUCUUCAUUUGAAAAGUAAUGCUAUUGAGGAUUGUUCAUGCAGUUGUUUGAAGGUUUAGAAUUAAUGUCAUUUUGAUGCUAAUUUCAGUUGACCACUCCAUGGCAUUUCACAUUGCUUGUUAGCAUUCAGCUAAUGGACUUUUCGUAGUGCAGCAUAUGGUUUUUGAACAUUUGGGUUUUUAGAGAUGUAUUUUUUUUUCUCUUUUAUGGAUGUCUCAGUUGUACAGUGAACUUCAACUGGGAGUGACAAAUGUUAUUUGAAGAGCUGUGCAAGGAACAGAGUCUUUUCAUUUUCUCUGAGUGAUGAUAAUGACGAUAAUUAUAUUAUCGGACUGUCUCCCCUUU
This is a long non-coding RNA of Hippocampus comes (tiger tail seahorse), 1209 nucleotides long. RefSeq lists it as uncharacterized. The transcript is spliced from 2 exons. Lineage: Eukaryota; Metazoa; Chordata; Actinopteri; Syngnathiformes; Syngnathidae. The record is from RefSeq and is a predicted model, not a curated record.